This 253-nucleotide ribosomal RNA is filed under the name uncultured bacterium. RNAcentral describes it as "partial 16S ribosomal RNA". It matches the Rfam family "Bacterial small subunit ribosomal RNA", at positions 524 to 776 of the family's 1533-position model. The record is from RNAcentral.
UACGGGGGGGGCAAGCGUUGUUCGGAAUUACUGGGCGGAAAGGGCUCGUAGGCGGCCAACUAAGUCAGACGUGAAAUCCCUCGGCUUAACCGGGGAACUGCAUCUGAUACUGGAUGGCUUGAGUUCGGGAGAGGGAUGCGGAAUUCCAGGUGUAGCGGUGAAAUGCGUAGAUAUCUGGAGGAACACCGGUGGCGAAGGCGGCAUCCUGGACCGACACUGACGCUGAGGAGCGAAAGCUAGGGGAGCAAACAGG